CCUACGGGAGGCAGCAGUGAGGAAUAUUGGUCAAUGGACUCACGUCUGAACCAGCCAUGCCGCGUGCAGGAAGACGGCUCUAUGAGUUGUAAACUGCUUUUGUACGAGGGUAAACGCAGAUACGCGUAUCUGUCUGAAAGUUUCGUGCGAAUAAGGAUCGGCUAACUCCGUGCCAGCAGCCGCGGGAAUAAGGAGGAUUCAAGCGUUAUCCGGAUUUUUUGGGGUUAAAGGGUGCGUAGGCGGUCGGAUAAGGUAGAGGUGAAAUCCCGAGGCUCAACUUCGGCAUUGCCUCUGAUACUGUUCGUCUAGAGAGUAGUUGAGGUAGGCGGAAUGUAUGGUGUAGCGGUGAAAUGCUUAGAGAUCAUACAGAACACCGAUUGCGAAGGCAGCUUACCAGGCUACUUCUGACGUUGAGGCACGAAAGCGUGGGGAGCAAACAGGAUUAGAUACCCCAGUAGUC
Molecule: ribosomal RNA, 460 nt
Filed under: uncultured bacterium
Lineage: Bacteria
Description: partial 16S ribosomal RNA
Rfam family: Bacterial small subunit ribosomal RNA
Source: RNAcentral